UGAACCAUUGCAAGGUAAGUAUUGGACAAGCGGCAGCAAAGCAAAACUCACUUUCAAGACAAGAAAGUAGACAUGCUUUUCAAACCUCAGCUGACAAGCACACUCAAACAAACACGUUUCGGUGAUACAACAUGGCACUGAAACUAAGCACAAACAACUAACAGAAACAAGAGACCACGAAAUCCGACUUGAUACAAUACUAGUAAGCUGAAAUUCCCUGGAUCAGGUAUUCAAAAGGAUCUUGCUACAUUAUACAGACUUGGCUAGAAUAAGACACGGUAAGUUGUUUUAGGUAACAUAUAAACACUGCCGACAACAUUUAUGGAAUGCGACAAAUUCAUUGACAACUAACAUCUGCAGCAGCCCUUCUUCACCUGGGGAAAACAAAAGCACUAAUCUAUUACUAACUUGAUACAGAUACAGAUAAAUUCUAACAGUAACAUCUAGGAGUAUGUAACAGUGUAUGAACAAAACAUGUCUACAAACUCAUGAUCAGCACAGCAACAUAAAGAAGAGCUAUACAAUACCCCGACCCCCACCCCCACCCCCUAAAAAGGAAGAGCUAUAUCAUAUUGCUGACUAUAUCUCCUCGAAAUACAGAUGGCAACAAAGUAAAUCUUCCAACCUUAUCACAUGAAUUUGUGAGGUGAUGGAGUUGAAUGAUGCAGCUGAUGCUUGUAGUAACGAAAUUGGCAACUAAUAUAUAUUGAUUGCAACUUAUAGAUUAUGAAACAGCUAAACCAAAGGGGAACUCUGGGGAUACAACGUCUGCAUAUCAUUUAUGAUCCAAAAAAGGGCAAUUUUUUACUUAGCAUCACCACCAUUUUAAUUUUUUCCUGUGUUAUUAGCAUGUGUGAAUCCCUAUAGUCGAAUGGACAGUAGUUUGAGGAUACAUGCUACCCACACUGGCCAUCAAAUAUUUUCCAAAGUGAAAAUCAAACAGUUCAAAUCUCACAAACUAUAUUCAGAAGAUUCUUACCUGUUACCAUUUCAGCACAUUAGAAGAUCUAACCAAACUAUCACCUUGUGUAUCAUGCAUCAUGUCAGCUCCAUCAAGUCCACCAGCAAUGGAUGUGCAUAGAAGCAUAAGGCAAUCAUUUAAUAAAGUUUCAACAAAAAUAUAAAUGGAUAUGAGAAGGCAACAGUGAG
This 1149-nucleotide long non-coding RNA is filed under the name Triticum aestivum (bread wheat). Its description in RNAcentral is "long non-coding RNA (TAES_LNC025131)". Lineage: Eukaryota; Viridiplantae; Streptophyta; Magnoliopsida; Poales; Poaceae. The record is from RNAcentral.